CUAAGAAGCAAAAAACCUAAUCCACACAUUAUUCAAUGCAUGCAUGGCCCCUUGCCAAUUGCCAUUGUAUGGUUAUAAAGUUUCUUGCAUAGCUCCCCAUAAACCAAACAUAUUUCAGCUCAUCAUCUAUAAGAGACUUGGUUUCCAUUGAAUUUCUAUGUGUCUCUGUGUUCAGUGCUAUUUCACCUCGUCAAAUUUUAUAUCACCUUUUAAGUUGGAUUAUCAUCUUUCUCGAACAAGAAGGAGAUUACAACUACAUAGAUUAAAUGAUAUCAAUGGCUCAUGAUCAAGGUAAAAAGCAGUUGUUUCAAGGCUCGUGUGGAGAGCAAUCAAGGUUUUCGAGAAAUACGAGAGAUGAGAAAUGGGAUUUGAUUGAAAAAGAACGUUACGAAGAGUCGGAAAAAUCGUCGUCAAUCGGGAUAGCUUCGACAAAUUCAGAUGGAUCUUCUUCAUUAGACACGUCCGAUGAUGCAUCAUCGUCGUCGUAUUCAUCUGCAAAUUCAAGUGGAUCUUUGUACGAUUUGUCGGAUCUCAUGUCCCAAUUACCCUUCAAGAGAGGGUUAUCGAAGUUUUAUGAAGGAAAAUCACAAUCAUUCACCUGUUUAUCAAGGGUGGGAAGCAUAGAGGAACUUGCAAAGAAAGAAAGUGCUUACAACAACAGGAGAAAGUUAUUGAAUGGAUGCAAAAGUUACGGAGGUGGUUUAAAUAAUUAUAAAUUAUACAAUCUUCCGAAGCCCGUUAUUUCAAAGAAAAAAUCAAGGGGAUUGCUUUCUUCUUCAUCUCUUUCCAAUAGAAAAGGAUCCAAGUAAUCUCAAGUAUUCCAUUCCAUGUAACCUUCCAUUUUUUUUCAAGGGAGUGAGAUUUAUAAUUAAUAAAAAUUACGACAUAUAUUCGAUGAUA
Molecule: long non-coding RNA, 900 nt
Organism: Daucus carota subsp. sativus
Lineage: Eukaryota; Viridiplantae; Streptophyta; Magnoliopsida; Apiales; Apiaceae
Exons: 2
Source: RefSeq, a predicted model, not a curated record